This is a long non-coding RNA of Oryza sativa Japonica Group (Japanese rice), 1829 nucleotides long. RefSeq lists it as uncharacterized. The record is from RefSeq and is a predicted model, not a curated record. Lineage: Eukaryota; Viridiplantae; Streptophyta; Magnoliopsida; Poales; Poaceae.
CGCCGAUUCGCCGAAGACAUCGCUCCUCCGUCCUCAUCCACCCGCUGCCGCGAAGACGUCGCUCCUCGACUCCUCCUCGCUCGCUCCUCCUCCUCCCCGCGUCCUGGCAGGAGAUCCUCCCCGCUCCUCCGCGGCCACGCCGGAGCCGCCGCCGCCACCGCUCCUCCGCGGCCACUCCGGAGCCGCCGCCGCCGGGUCCUUCUUCCUCCCCAUCGACGCGGCCGGCCUCUUCGCUCGCGCCUCCUCCUCCCCGCUGCCGCCGCUCCGCCGCAUCCUCGCCGGAUCUCUGCCGGAUCUCUGCCGGAGCUCCGCCUUGGUCCCUCAUCAAGUCCCUAAUCCCUAAUCUUCUUCCUUGAGCAUUGGCCUGUACCAUGAUUUUCCUUUUUUUGUUGAAGCCAGGUCGGCCAAACUGCAAGUGACCCAUUGAUUAUGUUAUUUGGUACUCUCAGACCACAUAUAUAUUCUUCCUUCCAUGUUGGUUCAGCCAUUGCUUCAUGCUUGCUUUACUUUGAGUUUUGUUUGCUCCGAUCUAACAUUCACAUUGUUUUUGUGCGUUGAGGACUGGGGCGGGCUUCUGUUUUAUUUAGUGCCUCAACUUGAUUAAGCCACAAAAUUAUGCACUUUGUAUGGCAAAGGUAAAGCACUUUGUUGUCAUGGGUUGUUUUAAAUAAUAAUGGAUCCCCUUUUUUCUAGCCUUGCAGAUUGUCAUGUUGCUGGAAUUGUAAGCGGACUGACGAAUUCAGGGGAACGAGCUCCACUUGAUGAUCUUGCUAAUUCCAAGUGCCAUGACAUUAUCAAGCUCUAAGCAAGGCCAUGGGCUAUGGCGAUCUGGGUAAGCAGAAUAUAUUUGUCUUUCUAUAUACCUCAGCCCAUCAACCGUAACUUAGCAAAAGUACCUGUCAUCUGGCUUGGGAGGCAUUACUGAAUCUCACCUAUGCAAUUUGAUGAACUGACAUUCAUGUUUUGCUAUAUACUUCCUAUCACUAGAAUUCCUGUUACAUUAUAUAUAUGCGCAUACAUUCUUGUGUAGCUACUAGGUAGAUAUUUCUUCUAAUGAUACGGUUGUCAGAAUCAAUGGCAUUCAACUGAUCAGUUCAACUUCAUGCAUUUCGUGUCAGAAGGGAACAUAUGAGAGUUAACAUGUAUACGGCAUAUUGUGUUGAUUGCCCAUAAACAGCUAGCCCAACAUUCUUCUGCUCUGCUAGCUGAUUGCCCAUAAACAGCUAGCCCAACAUUCUUCUGCUCUGCUAGCUAUAAUUUGGAUCCUAACUUCAGUGUGAGAUAUAUGCGCAGUUACAAGUUGAACUACUAUUAGUUUACUAGGACGGCCUGUCAUAACAAGCUAUAGUUCUAUGAAUUUUUUGAAAUAAAAGAUGAUCCAUUUGUGAGUUCCAUUGUUUGAGACUAAAAGAAAUACAGAUUGCAAGAGCAAAAGGCAAUAACGUGAGGAAGGGAGAAAAGUUGUUUUCAGCACAAUAAGUCUGUGACCAUGUUUUCAUAGGAAACUCAUUAUAAAGAAAUGAAAUGGAAACAACUUUCCAUGGUGAUUUCAUUGACCAUUGCUCAGAUCAAUGACACAAAUGAUGUAGGAUACCAAUGCAGUAAUCCACGAAGUGAAGAAUGCAUGAUUCAGUUGGUGGAAAGGCAAUACAUGAUGAAGAUGAUUUGUACAACAAAUUGGCUUAUGUAAAAUUAAUGCUCUUUUCUCAUUUGGUGUUUUGUAUCAUUGCAAUACUCCAGCUGUUGUAAUUAAUCAAGUGUUACCAAUGUUGAAGUGGUCUGCACCUUGUAGCAAUCUAGCAGAGCUCUAAAUUUUGUUCUGUGCAAAA